This is a long non-coding RNA of Pezoporus flaviventris, 398 nucleotides long. RefSeq lists it as uncharacterized. Lineage: Eukaryota; Metazoa; Chordata; Aves; Psittaciformes; Psittacidae. The transcript has 2 exons. The record is from RefSeq and is a predicted model, not a curated record.
GUGGUCACUGUCCCAAGGGUCACCAACACAGCUAGUCCUGCUUGCAGAGGUCUGCGACUUUGAGGAACCUUCUUACGACCACAGCCAGGCAGAUUGUCAGGAGCAGCAUAUACCCCACAGUGCCCAGGUAUCUAGCUUUGGCUUGUCCUGGAUAUUCACGCAUCACCCAGGUGUCCCUGCCUGGCCAGAAAGUGCCAGGGAGAUCUCAGAGCAUCUAAAGAUCAUGGUUCGCAUCAUUGCCAAGUGACAGCAAUGUAGCUUUAGCAGCCACAUUAAUGAAACUCAUUACUAAGGUAAUGAGUUGGUUCUUUUGCUUUUUUCCAAGACUGCCUCCUCAGAGGGGAGAAUGCUGUCUGCGGACAGAUUGGGCUUUUAUAAAGAUAACUGCAUACAGCUUA